Molecule: ribosomal RNA, 487 nt
Filed under: uncultured bacterium
Lineage: Bacteria
Description: partial 16S ribosomal RNA
Rfam family: Bacterial small subunit ribosomal RNA
Source: RNAcentral
AUUGAACGCUGGCGGCAGGCCUAACACAUGCAAGUCGAACGGUAACAGGAAGCAGCUUGCUGCUUCGCUGACGAGUGGCGGACGGGUGAGUAAUGUCUGGGAAACUGCCUGAUGGAGGGGGAUAACUACUGGAAACGGUAGCUAAUACCGCAUAACGUCGCAAGACCAAAGAGGGGGACCUUAGGGCCUCUUGCCAUCGGAUGUGCCCAGAUGGGAUUAGCUAGUAGGUGGGGUAACGGCUCACCUAGGCGACGAUCCCUAGCUGGUCUGAGAGGAUGACCAGCCACACUGGAACUGAGACACGGUCCAGACUCCUACGGGAGGCAGCAGUGGGGAAUAUUGCACAAUGGGCGCAAGCCUGAUGCAGCCAUGCCGCGUGUAUGAAGAAGGCCUUCGGGUUGUAAAGUACUUUCAGCGGGGAGGAAGGGAGUAAAGUUAAUACCUUUGCUCAUUGACGUUACCCGCAGAAGGAGCACCGGCUAACUCC